UAGGGAAUCUUCCACAAUGGACGAAAGUCUGAUGGAGCAACGCCGCGUGAGUGAAGAAGGUUUCGGAUACGUAAAGCUCUGUUGUUGGUGAAGAAGGAUAGAGGCAGUAACUGGUCUUUAUUUGACGGUUAAUCAAACCAGAAAGUCACGGCUAACUACGUGCCAC
RNAcentral lists this ribosomal RNA (166 nucleotides) under uncultured bacterium. RNAcentral's name for it is "partial 16S rRNA". It matches the Rfam family "Bacterial small subunit ribosomal RNA", at positions 355 to 511 of the family's 1533-position model. The record is from RNAcentral.